AUUGAACGCUGGCGGCAGGCCUAACACAUGCAAGUCGAACGGUAACAGGAAACAGCUUGCUGUUUCGCUGACGAGUGGCGGACGGGUGAGUAAUGUCUGGGAAACUGCCUGAUGGAGGGGGAUAACUACUGGAAACGGUAGCUAAUACCGCAUAACGUCGCAAGACCAAAGAGGGGGACCUUCGGGCCUCUUGCCAUCGGAUGUGCCCAGAUGGGAGUAGCUAGUAGGUGGGGUAACGGCUCACCUAGGCGACGAUCCCUAGCUGGUCUGAGAGGAUGACCAGCCACACUGGAACUGAGACACGGUCCAGACUCCUACGGGAGGCAGCAGUGGGGAAUAUUGCACAAUGGGCGCAAGCCUGAUGCAGCCAUGCCGCGUGUAUGAAGAAGGCCUUCGGGUUGUAAAGUACUUUCAGCGGGGAGGAAGAGAGUAAAGUUAAUACCUUUGCUCAUUGGCGUUACCCGCAGAAGAAGCACCGGCUAACUCCGUGCCAGCCGCCGCAGUAA
RNAcentral lists this ribosomal RNA (506 nucleotides) under uncultured bacterium. RNAcentral's name for it is "partial 16S ribosomal RNA". It matches the Rfam family "Bacterial small subunit ribosomal RNA", at positions 30 to 523 of the family's 1533-position model. The record is from RNAcentral.